RNAcentral lists this transfer RNA (76 nucleotides) under Methanomethylovorans sp. PtaU1.Bin073. RNAcentral describes it as "tRNA-Gln". It matches the Rfam family "tRNA". Rfam says of the family: Transfer RNA (tRNA) molecules are approximately 80 nucleotides in length. Lineage: Archaea; Methanobacteriati; Methanobacteriota; Methanomicrobia; Methanosarcinales; Methanosarcinaceae. The record is from RNAcentral.
UAGUCCUGUAGGGUAGUGGUCAAUCCUUUUGGCCUUUGGAGCCGAAGACGGUGGUUCGAAUCCGCCCAGGACUAUC